UACGUAGGGACCGAGCGUUGUCCGGAAUCAUUGGGCGUAAAGAGCGUGUAGGCGGCCACUUAAGUCCUGCGUGAAAUCUUGCGGCUCAACCGCAAGCGGUCGUGGGAAACUGGGGAACUUGAGUGCAGAAGAGGAGAGCGGAAUUCCACGUGUAGCGGUGAAAUGCGUAGAGAUGUGGAGGAACACCAGUGGCGAAGGCGGCUCUCUGGACUGUAACUGACGCUGAGGCGCGAAAGCGUGGGGAGCAAACAGG
RNAcentral lists this ribosomal RNA (253 nucleotides) under uncultured bacterium. RNAcentral's name for it is "partial 16S ribosomal RNA". It matches the Rfam family "Bacterial small subunit ribosomal RNA", at positions 524 to 776 of the family's 1533-position model. The record is from RNAcentral.